This 289-nucleotide ribosomal RNA is filed under the name uncultured Phreatobacter sp. RNAcentral's name for it is "partial 16S ribosomal RNA". The record is from RNAcentral. Lineage: Bacteria; Pseudomonadati; Pseudomonadota; Alphaproteobacteria; Hyphomicrobiales; Phreatobacteraceae.
CUACUGGGGUAUCUAAUCCUGUUUGCUCCCCACGCUUUCGCACCUCAGCGUCAGUAUCGGACCAGUUGGCCGCCUUCGCCACUGGUGUUCUUGCGAAUAUCUACGAAUUUCACCUCUACACUCGCAGUUCCACCAACCUCUUCCGAACUCGAGACUAUCAGUAUCAAAGGCAGUUCUGGAGUUGAGCUCCAGGCUUUCACCCCUGACUUAAUAAUCCGCCUACGUGCGCUUUACGCCCAGUGAUUCCGAACAACGCUAGCCCCCUUCGUAUUACCGCGGCUGCUGGCAC